AUGCAGUCGAACGGAAAGGCCCAGCUUGCUGGGUGCUCGAGUGGCGAACGGGUGAGUAACACGUGGGUGAUCUGCCUCUAACUUCGGGAUAAGCUUGGGAAACUGGGUCUAAUACCGGAUAGGACAAUCGUUUAGUGUCGGUUGUGGAAAGUUUUUUCGGUUAGGGAUGAGCCCGCGGCCUAUCAGCUUGUUGGUGGGGUAAUGGCCUACCAAGGCGUCGACGGGUAGCCGGCCUGAGAGGGUGGACGGCCACAUUGGGACUGAGAUACGGCCCAGACUCCUACGGGAGGCAGCAGUGGGGAAUAUUGCACAAUGGGCGCAAGCCUGAUGCAGCGACGCCGCGUGGGGGAUGACGGCCUUCGGGUUGUAAACCUCUUUCGACAGGGACGAAGCUUUGGUGACGGUACCUGUAUAAGAAGCACCGGCUAACUACGUGCCAGCAGCCGCGGUAAUACGUAGGGUGCGAGCGUUGUCCGGAAUUACUGGGCGUAAAGAGCUCGUAGGUGGUUUGUCGCGUCGUCUGUGAAAUUCCGGGGCUUAACUUCGGGCGUGCAGGCGAUACGGGCAUAACUUGAGUGCUGUAGGGGAGACUGGAAUUCCUGGUGUAGCGGUGGAAUGCGCAGAUAUCAGGAGGAACACCGAUGGCGAAGGCAGGUCUCUGGGCAGUAACUGACGCUGAGGAGCGAAAGCAUGGGGAGCGAAUAGGAUUAGAUACCCUGGUAGUCCAUGCCGUAAACGGUGGGCGCUAGGUGUA
RNAcentral lists this ribosomal RNA (754 nucleotides) under uncultured bacterium. RNAcentral describes it as "bacterial SSU rRNA". It matches the Rfam family "Bacterial small subunit ribosomal RNA", at positions 55 to 824 of the family's 1533-position model. The record is from RNAcentral.